RNAcentral lists this long non-coding RNA (1281 nucleotides) under Strigops habroptila (Kakapo). RNAcentral's name for it is "lncRNA (ENSSHBG00005020317.1)". The record is from RNAcentral. Lineage: Eukaryota; Metazoa; Chordata; Aves; Psittaciformes; Psittacidae.
AGCGCCAAAUCCAACAUUGUUACGUACUUACAGUUACAACCCGAAACCGCUGUACACGCCAUGACACGCCACGGCAUGGCAUGACACGCCAUGACAUGCCACAACACGCCACGGCACGCCAAGGCACGCCAAAGCACGCCAUGACACACCAUGACACGCUGUGACAUGCCACGACGCCCCUGAUCCCCCCAAGCCCCGGGGCCCUGGCUCAGUCCCACCGGCGCUGCCAGGGCGUCACAGCGAGGGGCACCCCUACAUUCAUGGGGGGGUCCCAGGGGUGGGGGGCAUGGGAUGGGCCCCCCCCAGGCCCAUGUGUGCCCCCACCACCGUCCAACGGUGAAACGAAGCAAUAAAUUAACGAGGAUCCCAAGGGGAUGGUGACAAAAGGGGGGUUCGGGGGGGUUGUCACAGGUUCAGGGGGGGUCAGGGCACAGUUUGGGGGGGGGUUGUACAAAAGGGUCUGUAGAAAAUGGGGUCGGGGCUGUUCCUGUCGCGGUGCCGGUGCCAGGGGCGGGGACUCGGGGUGGGGGACCCAUGGGGAGAGGUGGGGACCCAUGGGGGGGGACACCCAUGUCAGUGGGGUGCCAUAGGCAGGAUGACAUGAAUGGGGUGACAUGGGCAGUGUGACACGACCAGCGCUGUCCCCAUCGGUGCCCCACACCGAUAUACAGGGGGGUGACCACGGCGCCACCAGCGCUGGGUGCUGGGACCUGGCACGGGCAGAGGGACAGGACCGGGAGACCCGGAGAGCUCCCAGCAGGAGCCGGGUAAUAAAUAGAGCCUCGGGACCGCGAACCGGGGCCGGUGGCACCGGGGUUGGGGGGCGGGUGACACCAGGGGCUGGUGGCAUCACCCGCAAGCCCGGGGGGGGCCGUGGCUACACGAGCGCGGUGUGCGGCUCGCAGGGCCCGCAGCUGCUCCUGCGGCGGGGGCCGGGGGCGCUGUCGGCGCUGUCGGCGCUGUCGGCGAACCCCUCGCCGGGGCAGCCGUGCUGCAGCAGGAUGUCGGCGCACUCCCGGCUGCCGGCGCGGCGCGCAUAGAACAGCGCCGUGUGCCCGCGGCCGUCCCGCGCCCGCACGUCGGCUCCGUGCUGCGGGGACACGGCAGCAGCUGCGUGAUGACUACGAGCCCCAUGUCACAGGCCACAUGCAGCGCCGGGCGCCCAUCCCCGUCCCCAGCGCGGACGUUGAGCUGCUCCUUCUUGCUGUGGGCCAGGAGCAGCAGCACCAGCUCCAGGUCCUUGUCCUGCACGGCUCGGAGGAGCUGCUCCCCCAGCGGCCC